AGUGAACGCUGGCGGUAGGCCUAACACGUGCAAGUCGAACGGCAGCACAGUAAGAGCUUGCUCUUACGGGUGGCGAGUGGCGGACGGGUGGGGAAUACAUCGGAAUCUACUUUUUCGUGGGGGAUAACGUAGGGAAACUUACGCUAAUACCGCAUACGACCUACGGGUGAAAGCAGGGGAUCUUCGGACCUUGCGCGAUUGAAUGAGCCGAUGUCGGAUUAGCUAGUUGGCGGGGUAAAGGCCCACCAAGGCGACGAUCCGUAGCUGGUCUGAGGGGAUGAUCAGCCACACUGGAACUGAGACACGGUCCAGACUCCUACGGGAGGCAGCAGUGGGGAAUAUUGGACAAUGGGCGCAAGCCUGAUCCAGCCAUACCGCGUGGGUGAAGAAGGCCUUCGGGUUGUAAAGCCCUUUUGUUGGGAAAGAAAAGCAGCAGGUUAAUACCCCGCUGUUCUGACGGUACCCAAAGAAUAAGCACCGGCUAACUUCGUG
This 492-nucleotide ribosomal RNA is filed under the name uncultured bacterium. Its description in RNAcentral is "partial 16S ribosomal RNA". It matches the Rfam family "Bacterial small subunit ribosomal RNA", at positions 29 to 507 of the family's 1533-position model. The record is from RNAcentral.